ACAGCCAUAUAGUGUUGAAACAUUGGUCCCUGUACAAUCAUCGAAGUUAAGCAACGUUGGGCCUGGUCAGUACCUAGAUGGUUGACCAUUUGGAAACACCAAGUGUUGUAA
Molecule: non-coding RNA, 111 nt
Organism: Acanthosepion pharaonis
Lineage: Eukaryota; Metazoa; Mollusca; Cephalopoda; Sepiida; Sepiidae
Source: the annotation of a GenBank genome assembly